AUGCUACCUCGCCUCCUUCUUCUCUUCCUCGUGCGCCAGCGGCCAUGGCUGCUCGUCAUCAAGCUCGCCUUCGUCUCCCUGGCGGCCGACUACCUCGACCUCCUUUGCAAGCUACAGCCGCCCCGCGCCAAGUCCCUCUCCGACGUCCUCUGUUCGGGAACGAGCACGACGCUCGCCGUUUCCCUUUGUGUGUCCCGUGCACCUGGAAAUCGAGCAGCAAUGCUCGUCCUCGAGAGCGUUGACCAGCCGCCUUCGCCAGCUCCUUCGGCCUCACCUCGUGGCCCAAAUCUGCACAGCCACGCAUGA
This 306-nucleotide ribosomal RNA is filed under the name Triticum aestivum (bread wheat). RNAcentral describes it as "partial small subunit ribosomal RNA". The record is from RNAcentral. Lineage: Eukaryota; Viridiplantae; Streptophyta; Magnoliopsida; Poales; Poaceae.